ACCGGACAGAAACUCCUGAAACCAACCAUCACUUCAGGGUCUGAACUCCAAGUUAAAUAUGUGGAUGGAGAGAGCGAGAGAUUCUAUGUUCGCUACAGAACAUUUAUUUACCGGCUGAAGGUCUCACGCCGCAGCCCCGGGAACCUUUUUUUUUGGACGAGAGAUGGGAGAUGCCUGCGGGACCUAAUGGAGAAAGCAUAGGACUGGAAGUCAGACUACAGAGAAGCAAAAGAGAAGACUGGGAAUAAGAGUUUAAGAUACCAAGAAAUCUGCAAACUGCGACCGGCGGCAGGCGUUGGCUCAUUUUUGUAUGUCACAUAAAGCUAAUAUAUCGCAAAA
This is a long non-coding RNA of Ornithorhynchus anatinus (platypus), 339 nucleotides long. RefSeq lists it as uncharacterized. The transcript is spliced from 2 exons. The record is from RefSeq and is a predicted model, not a curated record. NCBI's taxonomy places the organism in Eukaryota, Metazoa, Chordata, Mammalia, Monotremata, Ornithorhynchidae.